GAAAUGCGAUAAGUAAUGUGAAUUGCAGAAUUCAGUGAAUCAUCGAGUCUUUGAACGCACAUUGCGCCCCCUGGUAUUCCGGGGGGCAUGCCUGUCCGAGCGUCAUUGCUGCCCUCAACCCCCACAUUCUAUGGUUGACCUCGGAUCAGGUAGGGAUACCCGCUGAACUUAA
This 172-nucleotide unclassified non-coding RNA is filed under the name uncultured Eurotiales. RNAcentral's name for it is "sequence contains ITS1". The stretch from base 1 to 105 matches the Rfam family "5.8S ribosomal RNA", at positions 50 to 154 of the family's 154-position model. From Rfam's summary of the family: 5.8S ribosomal RNA (5.8S rRNA) is a component of the large subunit of the eukaryotic ribosome. It is transcribed by RNA polymerase I as part of the 45S precursor that also contains 18S and 28S rRNA. The record is from RNAcentral. Lineage: Eukaryota; Fungi; Ascomycota; Eurotiomycetes; Eurotiales.